AAUCGGCAGAGGCAGCUCUGACACAGCCUCGUGAAGCCUGUUCUUCCAACCUACUUCUGCUGCGUCAUUUGUCAAUUUGUCAUGCCCAGAUGUCAAUGAGUCACAGCUAGUAGCUUCAACUGACCUAUUUUUGCCUUUGUCACGCCGCAGGAUCCAUAUGAACGACGCGAAAGGGUUCAAUGCUGUUCUGUGACCGUCAUUGCUAAGGAUAAAUGUUCCAUGUGGUACUAAGGAAGACUGCCACCUGAAGUUUGAAAGAAGGAUCACACCUGACCAGAGGCAUACUUAAGAUUAGCAAGAUGAGGCCUUUUGGGUCUCGUGCAGCUAUGAACGUAUCAGCAAAAACAAGUGAGUGGUGGAGAAGAAGGAUGUGGCCCCUGCCUGACACCCAGUGUGAUGCAGAGCUCAGAAUGCAGAACAGAAGAGGUCAUUCCACUGCAUCUCCCUUCAAUUCUUCAGCAAUUCUUCAGCAGUUCCUGUUAUUCCAAUAUAUAUGAUGAAAUGUUUACAGUGGUACCUCGGGUUACAGACGCUUCAG
Podarcis muralis (Common wall lizard) is the source of this 538-nucleotide non-coding RNA. The record is from RefSeq and is a predicted model, not a curated record. Lineage: Eukaryota; Metazoa; Chordata; Lepidosauria; Squamata; Lacertidae.